CAUAGAAUGCCUGAUUAAAAGGAUUAUUUUGAUAGAAUAAAUUAUGUGGCUUAUGUCUCUUUUAUGA
RNAcentral lists this transfer RNA (67 nucleotides) under Diaphorencyrtus aligarhensis. RNAcentral describes it as "tRNA-Ile". The record is from RNAcentral. Lineage: Eukaryota; Metazoa; Arthropoda; Insecta; Hymenoptera; Encyrtidae.